Phascolarctos cinereus (koala) is the source of this 2749-nucleotide non-coding RNA. The record is from RefSeq and is a predicted model, not a curated record. Lineage: Eukaryota; Metazoa; Chordata; Mammalia; Diprotodontia; Phascolarctidae.
UACAAUUUGAGAAGAGGCGAGGUGGGCGGUGGGAACAAGGGCUUCCUGAGCAGUGGCAGUGGUUAGCAACAGUCCUCUUCGACUUAGACUCAUGGCCAGCCUUGGAGACUUAGUGGGGUGGCAAGAUUUCUCAAGGCAGUGUGUUGCAGGGCCCUGAGUACCAGACAGGGAAGAGGGCAAGAAGAGAAGUAGUCCAAGGGCUUGGAUUUGGAUCGUGCCUCUCUGUCUCUUAUGGGAUUAGCUGUGUGACCUUGCACAAAGCACCUCUCUCUCUGGACCUCAGUCUGCUCAUCUCUCAAACUGGAGAGUAGGGCCAGCUUGCUUGCAAGAGUCCCUUCCACUUGUGAUUCUGUGCUCCCCAGCCAGCCACCAGUGUGCCUCUGUAAACUUGGCCCACAGUCAAGCAUCAGCCCACACACCCUGUGUGACCUUUCCUAGGAGGCUACAUUUGUCCCAGCUUGAGCCUUUUCCCUGAUGGAGCCAGUGAGAGCCCUAUGGGAGAACAGCAGGCCCUGUGUCUGCAAGAGCUGGACCCCUGGCCCUCCCCAGCAGCAGGUCCUCCCAUCUCCUGCAUUCCAGUGCAUCCUCUUCCCUGGCCUGUAGCUUCUCGAGCUUGUGCUAGAGCAGUGUGUAACAUUGUGCUUUCUUCUCAUCUUGUGCUUGCAGGGCCGGCAGCGGGAUUUAGAGCUGCAGCGGCAGAGAGGUGAGCGCAAAAUCCAGCAGCUGCAGCAGAUGAUCGCUGAGCUCGAGAAGGACAAGGGCUUUGGACCCAGAGCCUGGCAGGAGCAUGGUGCUGGGGAGGCCCUUCCCCCUGCCCUGGAGAAGCUUCAGGGGCAUCACAGUCAGCUGGAGAACUUCAGGCAGCAGCUGCUGCAUGUGGCUGGGCUUCUGACCAGCUUCAUAAACCAAACCCUUAACAGAACAAUCAAUGACUGGACAUCAUGAGAUAAAGGGGCUGCAACGUCCUUGCUGUUUAUUCUGGAGGAAUUGAAAUCAGAAUUGAUGUCAGGCCUCACUCAAAUAAGUUGGAGCCACAGUCCUCAUUGGAAAUGAGUGAGGCCCCCAAGGGAAGUGGGAGAGAUAUCCUUGCCCACCAUGCUGUGACUAGGUGGCAAAUGUGUCAGAUGCGGGGUCUCCUGCUCCUUCCUCUGAAGUCUGCCUUUGAAAAAAAAUUUUAAAAAGGCCAGCUGGUGAUGCCCAGUGGCAGGAGUGAAAUCCAGGAGCUUCUCCCCCAGGAAGAAGUUGCUCCUCUUUGUCUUGGGGAUGCUGUUGCUUGUGGCUUCGCUGGCUCAUGGUGCUUGCUAUUUCUACCCCUCUGGACUCCAUAACAUCCAUCCUGCUAUGCUCUCCUGGUGGGCAGCCAAGGGUAGCAGCAGGAGAGAGGACAUGUGGGAAUCAGGAGAAUUCACCCCAUAUUUGCAGCCAAAUGUCUACCCUGGCAAUGGAUGGGCUUUCCAGGGUCCCCAGAGCUUUGUUGGGGUUUGCUUGUCUGCCUGCAUCGACCUCACUGCCAUCACUGUGGAGCAUGUGCCCAGAGCCCUGUCCUCAAUCAGCAACAUCACCAGAGCCCCCAAGGACUUUGUCAUCUUGGGGCUCAAUGAAGAUUCCCAGGUGGAGGGGGUGGCCCUCAGACAGUUCACCUAUGAUAAUGCUGGGGAAGCCAUUCAGACCUUCCACUUUCAGGGCAACAGCACAGCCCUUUACCAGGUGGUAGAGCUUCGAGUCUUGAGCAACUGGGUCACCUGGAGUAUACCUGCAUUUACAGCUUCCAGGUCCAUGGCAAGCUUGCCAAUUAGUACCUCCCUGCUAGGUCCCUUUACCCCUUCCUCCUUCAGCCACCAGCAAGCAGCUCUCCCACUUCUUCCUGCCUCCCCCAGGCUCAUUCCCUUCUGGGCACUAUGGCUUCUGGGAGAGAGACAGAAGGUGGGAGCCCUCCUCCAUGGAGCCAUCUUGCCCCACCAAGCCCUCUCUGAUAUGGACAAGACCACCAGCUGAGCAACUUGUUUCAAUUCCCAUCAUCUGCAGGGUCAGGUGGCCCAGCUUCCUGCCAGGCCCUGCCCACCUCCAAGAGGAUCAUCAGCCUGUGUGGUUGUGGCUAUGGUGGCCAGGAGACUAGCCGGGAUCCCGUUGAGAUUGGCCCUUCCCUGGCCCUGUCUAGGGUUGGCGUUGAGCUGAUGUUACCCCCUAUCCUUGGGGUAGAUGUGACAUGGCCCAGGUGCCUCUGCAGGGAAGCGGGGCAUUGGAAGCUCAUCAGGCUCUUACUUUGAGCUCUGAUUCUGGUUCCUUUUGGGCCUGAUAGAAGACAUAAGGGCUUCAUUCCUGGGUGCCUCCCCAGGUCCCCGGGGUGAUAGUCACUGCAGCCCCAGCUUGGAGGUGGGGGGCUGGCCGUGAAACACUGAUGCCCUCAGCGAUAUCACUGUCGUUUUUGCCUCUUACCAUCAGGAGGGAAGGCAGCAGUUCACACACCACAGGGCUGGCCACUGGUUGCAGAAACCAGCAGGGGGAGCCCAAGGUUCUGCAGCUUUCAGGGGCCAGCAGCAGUAGGUGCAGGGCUGACCCCAGCUGCCCCUCAGGCCCAGUCUGCUCCCUCUGCUUUCGUCCCCUCCCCAGGAAGCUAGGAUCUGAGUGGCCCCACAUUGGAACCUACAGAUGAGGGCUUAGCACUUCCUCAUCACAAAGACUACUGUUUAAUUUUCUAGUUUUAUUUAGUUAUCGACAUAUUCUAAUUUAUGCCUGUGCUAAAAUAAAU